This 424-nucleotide ribosomal RNA is filed under the name uncultured bacterium. RNAcentral describes it as "partial 16S ribosomal RNA". It matches the Rfam family "Bacterial small subunit ribosomal RNA", at positions 359 to 775 of the family's 1533-position model. The record is from RNAcentral.
GAAUUUUGGACAAUGGGCGAAAGCCUGAUCCAGCAAUGCCGCGUGCAGGAUGAAGGCCUUCGGGUUGUAAACUGCUUUUGUACGGAACGAAAAGCUUUGGGUUAAUACCCUGGAUUCCAGACGGUACCGGAAGAAUCAGCACCGGCUAACUACGGGCAAGCAGCCGCGGUAAUACGGAGGGGGCAAUAGUGAAUCGGAAUUACUGGGCGUAAAGCGUGCGCAGGCGGUUUUGUAAGACAGAGGUGAAAUCCCCGGGCUCAACCUGGGAACUGCCUUUGUGACUGCAAGGCUAGAGUACGGCAGAGGGGGGUGGAAUUCCGCGUGUAGCAGUGAAAUGCGUAGAUAUGCGGAGGAACACCGAUGGCGAAGGCACCCCCCUGGGCCUGUACUGACGCUCAUGCACGAAAGCGUGGGGAGCAAACAG